AUUGAACGCUGGCGGCAGGCCUAACACAUGCAAGUCGAGCGGAUGACAGGAGCUUGCUCCUGAAUUCAGCGGCGGACGGGUGAGUAAUGCCUAGGAAUCUGCCUGGUAGUGGGGGACAACGUUUCGAAAGGAACGCUAAUACCGCAUACGUCCUACGGGAGAAAGCAGGGGACCUUCGGGCCUUGCGCUAUCAGAUGAGCCUAGGUCGGAUUAGCUAGUUGGUGAGGUAAUGGCUCACCAAGGCGACGAUCCGUAACUGGUNUGAGAGGAUGAUCAGUCNCACUGGAANUGAGACACGGUCCAGNCUCCUACGGGAGGCAGCAGUGGGGAAUAUUGGACAAUNGGCGAAAGCCUGAUCCAGCCAUGCCGCGUGUGUGAAGAAGGUCUUCGGAUUGUAAAGCACUUUAAGUUGGGAGGAAGGGCAGUAAAUUAAUACUUUGCUGUAANGACGUUACCGACAGAAUAAGCACCGGCUA
RNAcentral lists this ribosomal RNA (476 nucleotides) under Pseudomonas sp. NN018577. RNAcentral describes it as "bacterial SSU rRNA". It matches the Rfam family "Bacterial small subunit ribosomal RNA", at positions 30 to 499 of the family's 1533-position model. Lineage: Bacteria; Pseudomonadati; Pseudomonadota; Gammaproteobacteria; Pseudomonadales; Pseudomonadaceae. The record is from RNAcentral.